This 468-nucleotide ribosomal RNA is filed under the name uncultured bacterium. Its description in RNAcentral is "partial 16S ribosomal RNA". It matches the Rfam family "Bacterial small subunit ribosomal RNA", at positions 28 to 507 of the family's 1533-position model. The record is from RNAcentral.
GACGAACGCUGGCGGCGUGCUUAACACAUGCAAGUCGAACGGAAAGGCCCUGCUUUUGUGGGGUGCUCGAGUGGCGAACGGGUGAGUAACACGUGAGUAACCUGCCCUUGACUUUGGGAUAACUUCAGGAAACUGGGGCUAAUACCGGAUAGGAGCUCCUGCUGCAUGGUGGGGGUUGGAAAGUUUCGGCGGUUGGGGAUGGACUCGCGGCUUAUCAGCUUGUUGGUGGGGUAGUGGCUUACCAAGGCUUUGACGGGUAGCCGGCCUGAGAGGGUGACCGGCCACAUUGGGACUGAGAUACGGCCCAGACUCCUACGGGAGGCAGCAGUGGGGAGUAUUGCAGAAUGGGCGGAAGCCUGAUGCAGCAACGCCGCGUGCGGGAUGACGGCCUUCGGGUUGUAAACCGCUUUCGCCUGUGACGAAGCGUGAGUGACGGUAAUGGGUAAAGAAGCACCGGCUAACUACGUG